RNAcentral lists this ribosomal RNA (301 nucleotides) under uncultured bacterium. RNAcentral describes it as "partial 16S ribosomal RNA". It matches the Rfam family "Bacterial small subunit ribosomal RNA", at positions 509 to 807 of the family's 1533-position model. The record is from RNAcentral.
CAGCCGCCGCGGUAAUCCGAAGGGGGCUAGCGUCACUCGGAAUUACUGGGCGUAAAGGGCGCGUAGGCGGCACGAUUAGUCAGGCGUGAAAUUCCUGGGCUCAACCUGGGGACUGCGCUUGAUACGGUCGAGCUAGAGGAUGGAAGAGGGUCGUGGAAUUCCCAGUGUAGAGGUGGAAUUCGUAGAUAUGCGGAGGAACACCGAUGGCGAAGGCAGCCCCCUGGGCCAACACUGACGCUCAUGCACGAAAGCGUGGGGAGCAAACAGGAUUAGAUACCCCCGUAGUCCCUGUCUCUUAUAC